UAAUACGUAGGGACCAAGCGUUGUUCGGAUUUACUGGGCGUAAAGGGCGCGUAGGCGGCAUGGCAAGUCACUUGUGAAAUCUCCGGGCUUAACUCGGAACGGCCAAGUGAUACUGCUGAGCUAGAGUGCAGAAGGGGCAAUCGGAAUUCUUGGUGUAGCGGUGAAAUGCGUAGAUAUCAAGAGGAACACCUGAGGUGAAGACGGGUUGCUGGGCUGACACUGACGCUGAGGCGCGAAAGCUAGGGGAGCAAACGGGAUUAGAUACCCCGGUAGUCCUAGCCCUAAACGAUGAAUACUUGGUGUCUGGAGGUUUAAUACUCCGGGUGCCGUCGCUAACGUUUUUAGUAUUCCGCCUGGGGAGUACGUACGCAAGUAUGAAACUCAAAUGAAUUGACGG
RNAcentral lists this ribosomal RNA (397 nucleotides) under uncultured bacterium. Its description in RNAcentral is "bacterial SSU rRNA". It matches the Rfam family "Bacterial small subunit ribosomal RNA", at positions 521 to 916 of the family's 1533-position model. The record is from RNAcentral.